This is a long non-coding RNA of Scomber japonicus (chub mackerel), 196 nucleotides long. RefSeq lists it as uncharacterized. The transcript is spliced from 3 exons. Lineage: Eukaryota; Metazoa; Chordata; Actinopteri; Scombriformes; Scombridae. The record is from RefSeq and is a predicted model, not a curated record.
UUGUGUGUCAACUUUCAAUCCCAGACAGACUGAAAUCCAGAGGAUGAGUGAUUGUGGGGGUGAAGAGGAGGAGCGACCAUUGUUUCCAGUUUCCAGCUGUCAGCCAAUGACUAAAGACUUCAGUGAUGAACCUGGACCCUCACAAAGAGAUGUUCAUACCGACCCUCAGACUACAAAUCCUGCUGCCCUAAACGAC